AGACUUUGAUUAUGGCUCAGGACGAACGCUGGCGGCGCGCCUAACACAUGCAAGUCGAGCGGGAAGCUUUUUAAGGAUUCUUCGGAUGAAUUAAAAAGUGGAGAGCGGCGGACGGGUGAGUAACGCGUGAGAAACCUGCCCUAUACAGGGGGAUAGCCAUUGGAAACGAUGAUUAAUACCCCACAUGACCACAGUAUCGCAUGAUACAGCGGUGAAAACUCCGGUGGUAUAGGAUGGUCUCGCGUCUGAUUAGCUAGUUGGUGGGGUAACGGCCUACCAAGGCGACGAUCAGUAGCCGGCCUGAGAGGGUGACCGGCCACACUGGAACUGAGACACGGUCCAGACUCCUACGGGAGGCAGCAGUGGGGAAUAUUGCACAAUGGGCGAAAGCCUGAUGCAGCGACGCCGCGUGAACGAUGAAGGCUUUCGAGUCGUAAAGUUCUGUUCUUGGGGAAGAUAGCGACGGUACCCAAGGAGAAAGCACCGGCUAAAUACGUGCCAGCAGCCGCGG
Molecule: ribosomal RNA, 511 nt
Filed under: uncultured bacterium
Lineage: Bacteria
Description: bacterial SSU rRNA
Rfam family: Bacterial small subunit ribosomal RNA
Source: RNAcentral